Molecule: ribosomal RNA, 448 nt
Filed under: uncultured bacterium
Lineage: Bacteria
Description: partial 16S ribosomal RNA
Rfam family: Bacterial small subunit ribosomal RNA
Source: RNAcentral
CCCAGACUCCUACGGGAGGCAGCAGUGGGGAAUAUUGGGCAAUGGAGGAAACUCUUACCCAGCAAUGCCGCGUGAAUGAAGAAGGUCUUCGGAUUGUAAAGUUCUUUAAUUGGGGACGAAAAAAAUGACGGUACCCAAGGAAUAAGCCCCGGCUAACUACGUGCCAGCAGCCGCGGUAAUACGUAGGGGGCAAGCGUUGUUCGGAAUGACUGGGCGUAAAGGGUGCGUAGGCGGAAUGCCAAGUCAGCGGUAAAAUCGCGGGGCUCAACCUCGCUCCGCCGUUGAAACUGGCGUUCUUGAGUGGGCGAGAAGUAUGCGGAAUGCGUGGUGUAGCGGUGAAAUGCAUAGAUAUCACGUAGAACUCCGAUUGCGAAGGCAGCAUACCGGCGCCCAACUGACGCUGAAGCACGAAAGCGUGGGGAGCAAACAGGAUUAGAUACCCCUGUAG